Echinops telfairi (small Madagascar hedgehog) is the source of this 1773-nucleotide long non-coding RNA. RefSeq lists it as uncharacterized. The record is from RefSeq and is a predicted model, not a curated record. The transcript has 3 exons. Lineage: Eukaryota; Metazoa; Chordata; Mammalia; Afrosoricida; Tenrecidae.
CCACGUGGAGGUCCUGGAGCGGGAGCCGAGGCGGGGCCGUGCGCUCCCCCUGCGCUCCAGGGAGCCACCGAGUGUUGGGCCGUCGCUGACCGCAGGCUGCGAAAGCGGUUGAUCUGAAGCCUAGCUCGUGGAGACUCCAGGGAUUCCCAGGGACUGGCCAACCAAGCCCAGCCCUUUUGGGCGGUUUGGGAACCCCCUGGCCUGACGCCAAGAAUAAGAAGCUUCCAGACACGAGCGGGUGAGAAUGUGAGGCCGGGUGGAGGAAAAUGACUGCAGACUGCCCCUGGAGUCUGACCCCUCUCUUGGUCCUGCCCAAGCUUUGGUUCAGGCCGAAGCACAUUUUGCCCGGUCGCCAUCCUUCCCUAGGGCCAGACGGCGCCUAGUGGUGAUCGGGAAGGUUCCACUCCCAAACCCAGGAGAGAAAGAAUCAUGGUUUUUGAUCCCGAGCACCCGCUAUGUGGAAGGCUCUGCGAUGGAUUCUGCUAAGGAUGUGUUUGUUACAAAAGUGGCAGACACAGGCGCCGAGGCCCGUUAUUCUCCCUCUUGCUUCCCUGGGGAGUCUCCCCAUCCUCAAGCCCGGCCUCUUAAAGCCUCUGAACAACAACAGCCAAAUCUGAUUCCCUCGCUGAGCGCCCAGCACAGGCAAUUUGUACCUUUCUCACGGUACACCGUGUGGCCUGGCACCUAUUCUAGGGAUCUGUUUACUAAUCCUGUUCUUCUAACCAGAUUAGAACGUCCUUGAGGCCGAAACAAAGUCGGCUUCAUCCGGGAGGCCUCCUCCCACCUCUCCAGCUUCUACUCCACACAUCACCAUCAUCAUCAUCAUCAUCUUUGGAGUGGCAGUCCCUGGAACUGGGGCAUAUGGAAAUGUCUCCCCUGCCGUUGGGGAGUCUGCAGGCUGCUUAAAGAGACAGACACGCAAGGCUAAACUCUGGGCUCAGAGCUUUGUGUACAGGAACUCAUAUGUGGGAAACUGAGCAAUGGAAAGAGAGGGUAUGUGGACAAAUUCUUUAUUCUCAUAUUUAAUAAGCCUGGGGUUGGGGGGCAGGGUUCUGGGUGGAAGGACGCCCCAUCACAUUCUCAUAAAUAAGAUCAGUCCCCACAAUGUCUUUUCAUAUAGUGCUACCUUAAAGUUCCCUCUUAUAAGUAGAUGGCUGAUUGCUAUCUGGCCCACAGCUUUAUCUAUAGUAGCAAACAUGUUGCUAUUGCUCUCCCUGCUCAGGGGACAGUCAUGCCCCUUACCUGCCCCAGUGCUGGUGUUAGGUUACCCUUUCAAUGAACUCUGGGACCUGUAGGGUUAGGGGACAGCCUACUUUGUUAUGUUUGUGGUUACCUGUAAUUAAGGGGGCUUGCAUGCCCCCAAGACUAUAUACAUUGAUAAAAGAUUUCAUUCUCUCUUUCCCUGACCUGGUUCCUGAUGCCAUGGCAGAGAUGAGCACCCCAAAACUUUUGUCUGUCUCUUUAUUUCUUCCCUUUAAUUACACAACUGUCCCUUAGAACCCAUCUGGAUGUGGGCUGGAUCCCACACUCAUAUAGUUUUCAGAACUACUAUGAGUGGGGGCUCAGGAGGUAUUGAUAGCCCCACCUCCCUUGGGCUGUUAAGGAAACCGAGGCACAGAUAAAUGACGGGACUGGGAUUCACACUCAGGUCUAUCCGAGAUCAAAACUAGCCCUCCGGAAUGCUCUGCUAAGUAGCUUUUUUUUUUUUUUUUGCUAAGUAGCUUUGACCGGGACCCUACCCCAUAAAUCCUUAAGCCACCAAGGCCUGUGCCC